GGCUCGGUAGCUUAGUUGGUAAAGCACUUGUCUCGCGAAUAAGGGUCGUGAGUUCAAAUCUCACCUUACCUG
Aedes albopictus (Asian tiger mosquito) is the source of this 72-nucleotide non-coding RNA. NCBI's taxonomy places the organism in Eukaryota, Metazoa, Arthropoda, Insecta, Diptera, Culicidae. The record is from Rfam.